This 553-nucleotide ribosomal RNA is filed under the name uncultured archaeon. RNAcentral describes it as "bacterial SSU rRNA". It matches the Rfam family "Archaeal small subunit ribosomal RNA", at positions 369 to 928 of the family's 1478-position model. The record is from RNAcentral.
GAUAAGGAAACCCUGAGUGCCUGUCGAUGCAGGCUGUUCAUAUAUCUAAAUCAUAUGUGAAGAAAGGGCAGGGCAAGACCGGUGCCAGCCGCCGCGGUAAUACCGGCUGCUCGAGUGAUGGCCACUAUUACUGGGUUUAAAGCGUCCGUAGCUUGACUGUUAGGUCUCUUGGGAAAUCUUCGCGCUCAACGUGAAGGCGCCUAAGAGAUACCGGCAGUCUUGGAACUGGGAGAGGUAAACCGUACUUCGGGGGUAGGAGUGAAAUCUUGUAAUCCUCGAGGGACGACCUAUGGCGAAGGCAGUUUACCAGAACAGCUUCGACAGUGAGGGACGAAAGCUGGGGGAGCAAACGGGAUUAGAUACCCCGGUAGUCCCAGCCGUAAACAAUGUGCGUUAGGUGUGUCGGUAACCACGUGUUACUGAUGCGCCGAAGAGAAAUCGUAAACGCACCACCUGGGAAGUACGGUCGCAAGGCUGAAACUAAAGGAAUUGGCGGGGGAGCACCACAACAGGUGGAGCCUGCGGUUUAAUUGGAUUCAACGCCGGGAAGGGC